Molecule: unclassified non-coding RNA, 279 nt
Filed under: Hevea brasiliensis (rubber tree)
Lineage: Eukaryota; Viridiplantae; Streptophyta; Magnoliopsida; Malpighiales; Euphorbiaceae
Source: RNAcentral
UUGUAAAUUUAAGAUGGUAAAGUUACCAUUCAAAAGUUUUGUAAGUUCCAUUUUAAUUUUUGGGGAAAGUACAAAAGUUACCCGAAGGUUUUGUGCUUUGAUACUUAAAAUUGAUAACAGAGUGAAGCUUAUGGUACUAUUUUGUGAAAAAUUGUACCACAAGUGUCAAAGCUCAAACCUCAGGGUACUUUUUUGUAAUUUUCCCUUAAUUUUUUUGUUAUCCAUAUUGACUUAUUAUGCUAAAUGGAAAUUUUAGGUACUUUGAUGUUGCUGGUAGGA